RNAcentral lists this ribosomal RNA (497 nucleotides) under uncultured bacterium. Its description in RNAcentral is "partial 16S ribosomal RNA". It matches the Rfam family "Bacterial small subunit ribosomal RNA", at positions 28 to 507 of the family's 1533-position model. The record is from RNAcentral.
GACGAACGCUGGCGGCGUGCCUAAUACAUGCAAGUUGAGCGCUGAAGGUUGGUACUUGUACCAACUGGAUGAGCAGCGAACGGGUGAGUAACGCGUGGGGAAUCUGCCUUUGAGCGGGGGACAACAUUGGGAAACGAAUGCUAAUACCGCAUAAAAACUUUAAACACAAGUUUUAAGUUUGAAAGAUGCAAUUGCAUCACUCAAAGAUGAUCCCGCGUUGUAUUAGCUAGUUGGUGAGGUAAAGGCUCACCAAGGCGAUGAUACAUAGCCGACCUGAGAGGGUGAUAGGCCACAUUGGGACUGAGACACGGCCCAAACUCCUACGGGGGGCAGCAGUAGGGAAUCUUCGGCAAUGGACGAAAGUCUGACCGCGCAACGCCGCGUGAGUGAAGAAGGGUUUCGGAUCGUAAAAAGCUGUUUGUAGGGAAGAACGUUGGUGAGAGUGGAAAGCUCAUCAAGUGACGGUAACUACCCAGAAAGGGACGGCUAACUACGUG